GGAUGUGAGGGCGAUAUGGCCAUGACAUCUGUCACCCCAUUGACUGCCAGGGUUGAUUCGGCUGAUCUGGCUGGCCAGGCGGGUACUCCCUGCCUCCCUCACUGCUUCAUGUGCUUCCUUCCCAAAGCUGUCCUCUAGGUGCAAGAGGACAACCACCCCCGAUGGGGGAGGACCAUUUCCUCAGUCAAGGGCAUGUGUGCUCCCCAGCUCGAACCUCCAGACAAGCUCUCAAAGUAAACUACCACUGGAUUUUCCAUAUAUAUGAAUCAAUAAAUACCUCCUCAUUUCUUUCGAGAGGUUUCUAA
RNAcentral lists this small nuclear RNA (305 nucleotides) under Chinchilla lanigera (long-tailed chinchilla). RNAcentral's name for it is "7SK RNA (ENSCLAG00000022176.1)". It matches the Rfam family "7SK RNA". From Rfam's summary of the family: 7SK was discovered as an abundant small nuclear RNA in the mid-70s but a possible function has only recently been suggested. Two independent studies have found that 7SK RNA binds the CDK9/cyclin T complex (known as elongation factor P-TEFb). Lineage: Eukaryota; Metazoa; Chordata; Mammalia; Rodentia; Chinchillidae. The record is from Rfam by way of RNAcentral.